CUUGCCCUCUCUAGACCCUACUUAUGGGAGCUCACUGGAUUUGUUCUUGUCGUUGUAGUAGAUCUUUGAGAAACGAAGGAAGAAAUAGUUUGGGUGGUGGGAGGGUGGUGGAAUUUGUAGUAUUUGACCCUCUAUUACCUCUCUGCAAGUAUUAAAGCUUGGAGGAUGGGAUAUAUGAUGUUAUUCAGGGGCUAAAUAUUGUGAUGUAGAUCGGAAGAUUCAUAGAUUGCUAUUACUACCUAGAGUUAAACUGCUUUCCUGACUUCGAUUAUAUUUAUCUUCUUGUUGUUGUUCCUACUUGUUGCCAUUACUCCUUUUCAUCCUUUCUACGGCCGAGGGUUUAUAUGCUUUUCUACUCUUCCAGGAUAGGGGUAAGAUUGCGUACAUCUUGCCCUCUCUAGACCCUACUUAUGGGAGCUCACUGGAUUUGUUCUUGUCGUUGUAGUAGAUCUUUGAGAAACGAAGGAAGAAAUAGUUUGGGUGGUGGGAGGGUGGUGGAAUUUGUAGUAUUUGACCCUCUAUUACCUCUCUGCAAGUAUUAAAGCUUGGAGGAUGGGAUAUAUGAUGUUAUUCAGGGGCUAAAUAUUGUGAUGUUCGCAUAAUGUGGUGCGCCGUGUGAGAUAAGUAUUUUAUCACA
RNAcentral lists this long non-coding RNA (637 nucleotides) under Nicotiana benthamiana. RNAcentral describes it as "long non-coding RNA (NBEN_LNC004875)". Lineage: Eukaryota; Viridiplantae; Streptophyta; Magnoliopsida; Solanales; Solanaceae. The record is from RNAcentral.